GAUGAACGCUGGCGGCGUGCCUAAUACAUGCAAGUCGAGCGAACAGACGAGGUUCUUUCUCUUCUGCCGUUAGCGACGGACGCGUGAGUACCUCAUGGAUAUCCUACCUAUCUGACUGGGAUAACUUAGGGAAACCGGAGCUGACACCGGACAAUUUCUUUAACCGUAUGGUUCCCUAACCCAAGACGGUUUUGCUGUCUCUUAUAUAUGCAUCCGUGCCGCUUUCGAUAUGUGGUAAGGUAACGGCUUACCAACGCAACGAUGCGUGGCCGACCUGAGAGGGUGGGCGGCCACACUGGAACUGAGACAAGGUCCAGACUCCUACGGGAGGCAGGAGAAGGGAGUCUUCCGCAAGGGGCGGAAGGCGGACGGAGCAACGCCGCGUGAGUUAUAAAGGGAUUCGGAUCGGAAUACUCUGUUAUUAGGGAAGAACAAAUGUGUAAGUAACUAGGCACGUCUUGACGGUACCGAAUCAGAAAGCCACGGCUAACUACGUG
This 497-nucleotide ribosomal RNA is filed under the name uncultured bacterium. RNAcentral describes it as "partial 16S ribosomal RNA". It matches the Rfam family "Bacterial small subunit ribosomal RNA", at positions 28 to 507 of the family's 1533-position model. The record is from RNAcentral.